RNAcentral lists this long non-coding RNA (2009 nucleotides) under Citrus sinensis (sweet orange). RNAcentral's name for it is "long non-coding RNA (CSIN_LNC005330)". The record is from RNAcentral. Lineage: Eukaryota; Viridiplantae; Streptophyta; Magnoliopsida; Sapindales; Rutaceae.
AUUAUUUAAAAGUCAUACAUUUACUGUACAUUGUCAACUUUCUGCUAUUUUUUUGGUUCUCACAACAGCUAGUAAUAUCAAACAAGAGCUAAGUUAAGUAUGAUCAAUUAAUUAAAGUUUUGAUUUUUUGUAUAAAAUAAUCCUUAGAUAAUUAGUCUAUAAAGAAUAUUGGUUACUUCAAAUGGAAACUUGUGAUCAAAAGUGUAUCUUGAAGUGACACUAUAUGAGAAAUCUGAAAUAGAAUUUGCAAACUUGAACUGGGUUACAGAGAGUUAAUAAGACCCCAAAGAAACAUGGAAACUAUUUUUAUCUAGGAAACAAUCCAUAGCGAAAACAAAAUUAACUUUCCUAACUGACUAGAAUUUAACUCAAGGAAAAUUAGAAUAUACGACGUUGUAUCACAUACGGUAUUUAGACAUCAAGAAAAGAAUCCCUCUAUCUGUGAACCACACUUGCCAGGAAAUUAACACCAGGGGAAUACCACCACCUCAUACUAUUUCUUAGGUGUCUCAGAGUUUGAUGAGGACUUCCAUGCUGUGUCUCUUCGACAGGCAGCAAAAUUGGGCAAUUGACUACAUCAACUCCAACAAAUUUAUGCAGCCACCUUCCUCCGGACUAUCCUCUUUCUUCGCGCUUUAGUUGCCCUUAUUUCCCCUUUAAUAGAGUCAACAUUAUCUUGUUUGAUGCCAAGGAGACCAAGCCCAGAAACAAUGGCAUUCUUUGAUAUCAACCACCUGGGGACUUUUGAGCUGAGCCAUGACAUCCUGAGAUGGCCUGUUGUGUAAGCCUUCUUCAAAAGGUCAUCCGUUAAUCUUUCUCCUAAUUAGACAUUCAAAACCCUGCAUGGAAUCGAUUUGAGAAGUUGGACAAUAGACAAACUCCAACACAUAUAGACAGUAAAGAAGAAUUUAGACCGCAAUCACUGUGGCUCAACAAAUGGGCCUAUUAAGCCUAUUAAAAGUUGGAACCAUAUUCACCACUCGCAUUUCCUUAAGAGAGCUAUACCAGAAUUCUGUAAAUUUAAAACUUUUCUUACAUAAUUAAUUGUAAAACAAGAGAAAUUGUACUUCCGUAGCAAAGUCUCACUAUUGGUAAGUAUCUGGACUUGGAAAGGAUGCUAGUUGAUGAAGUAAAGGAAAAUUGAAAUCAGACUUUGAGGUGACAGAUCUAUACACUUCAAUAGGAACAACAUUGACAUCAUAUGAGACAAAUAAACAUUCCCCAGUCAAAGUUUAACAAACAAAACAUUAAAACAAGAGUAAGUUGGUCUAUCAAUGUAUAUAUAGACAUGUCGAUCAAUAGACAAAUACGUAAAAGAGGGAGGGAGAGACCUCAAAGCCGUGCUACUCCAAUAACUUCAAAAUUGUUGGUGACCACUCUAUCAAAUCCAUGCAAUAGUUGCAUACACUCACCGAUGGGUUUGUCACAGAUAACCUGUUAGGCAUUAAAAAUUGCCCAAAUUAAACAAAUGUUAGACCAGCUUAGACAGUAAACGGAACAAUAUUCUAAUUUUACUUUAUUUAUAACGAAUAAGUGAACAAAGGAAUAAAAAGGAAGUUUGGCAAAGAAUCCCGCAGCUAAUCCCACCAGACACCGCUCUGCAGGCUUAUUCGGGAGUCAAAAUUCUCAAAAUGUACUAAGAAAUGACAUUUGUUUACUAAUCCCACCAACAAGGAGGAAGUGACGUGAAGAGAAUUUACUAAGAAAUGCCAGUGUAUUAAUAUUGAAGGAAAACAUUCACUGACGACCAAAAUCGCUGAUAUAUGCUUAAUUUCUCACUCACUAAGAACGUUCAAUUCAUUCAAAUGAAACUUCCACAGGAAGGUCUCAUUAUUAAGGCUUUAGCUUCACCUCACAUGCUCAAUAAUUCAAAUUUGAGGAUGAUAUUUCUCCAAAUGGAGGGCUCUAUUUGGCUUGCCAACAAUCUUACUCACAACUAUCAUCCUUGCUAUAUCGGUUGCACUGAGCAAUCUUCAUUCUGACAUUUGCCCUAUUAACCUGAGUACACN